UGGGGAAUAUUGCACAAUGGGCGAAAGCCUGAUGCAGCAACGCCGCGUGAGUGAUGAAGGUCUUCGGAUUGUAAAGCUCUGUCUUUUGGGACGAUAAUGACGGUACCAAAGGAGGAAGCCACGGCUAACUACGUGCCAGCAGCCGCGGUAAUACGUAGGUGGCGAGCGUUGUCCGGAUUUACUGGGCGUAAAGGGUGCGUAGGCGGAUGUUUAAGUGAGAUGUGAA
Molecule: ribosomal RNA, 226 nt
Filed under: uncultured bacterium
Lineage: Bacteria
Description: partial 16S ribosomal RNA
Rfam family: Bacterial small subunit ribosomal RNA
Source: RNAcentral